UUUUCGUCAUUUUUUUUUUAAAAUACCGAAACCCGCCAAAAACAUGGUGUAAAAGCUAAAUAUGUUCAUACAUACUUUAAAUCAGAUAACUGAAGUAUAAAAUUACUUUUACAGUGACACGUGGGCCCCUAACUAACCAAUAAGGUGCGAGUCUGUGAACCUACAAUUUUGUCGAUGCAAGGCUAACUGAAGUCCUUGAUGCAAUCGGCUAUCUACCGGCUAUCCCGAGCCUGAAAUAUGGGGAAUUGAGGGUGGUGAGAUUAUAAAAUCCCAGUGAGUAAACAGACGCCAUCUAAACUAUCUAAAGGCGAGUAAAUGGAGGCGAAUUAAAAUAAUUCUUUUUCAAUAUAUGUUUCAUAACAUGAAUAUUCAGUUUACUCAAUUAAUCAACAUGGCUUAUAUAUCUCACAAAACUUGGCUCCUGUCAAAAUCAUUCCCGGGGAUGCCUUGGCCUAGGCAUCUGACCGAGACCACCAAGGCGGUUAAAUGUCUUUACAUCCGAAAUUCUAGCCAUGCCUUGACGUUGGCUGAGUCUCACUCUCACGCGGUGGUCCAGGUGAAGUGCACUCAAAUCUUUACCUCUAGAGACACCCUUCACACGGCUCUCCGAUCGAGGUAAGGUAUAUUUGAUUCUGUGCCCCUUCUCUUAGGUUGGUCCACAGAACCUCCACUGCAGGGAUUAUGGAUUAUUUUAUCUACCACCUGAUUUAUAAAAUCUUUAUCUGCAUGACAUGACAAUUUAUCGCAAUCUAGCCUCUCAAGGCUGAAUACAUAGUAUAUAUAUAAUUUUGAUACAAAUACCAACUUUG
This 809-nucleotide long non-coding RNA is filed under the name Theobroma cacao (cacao). RNAcentral describes it as "long non-coding RNA (TCAC_LNC003745)". The record is from RNAcentral. Lineage: Eukaryota; Viridiplantae; Streptophyta; Magnoliopsida; Malvales; Malvaceae.